UAUUUGCACUGUAAUCACACCAUAUUUAUGUGCCACUUAUUUUUCUUCCUAUGUGCUCAUCUUUUCUGUUGGUUGUUAUUUUUAGGACACACUGAUGUCGAAAGGAAUUGUUCACCUGUCAUGAAUUUGAUACUAUUACUGAUAUCACCAGCUGUCCAUCCAGCAAGAUGGGUAAAGUGCUUGCAGACUUUCUUCAGGAUAUUCCAGCUAGCAGUAUCCGAGCUGAUGAUGUAUUAUUUGAUGAAAAGAGUGCAAUACUUUUGCUUGCAUUCCUAUCUUCAUAUCUGACUAAUGACAAAAGAUUGGAUCAACUAAAGAAUUUUAUCAAUACGAGGUUGGACCACCAAAGCCUGG
This is a long non-coding RNA of Phragmites australis (common reed), 354 nucleotides long. RefSeq lists it as uncharacterized. The transcript is spliced from 3 exons. The record is from RefSeq and is a predicted model, not a curated record. Lineage: Eukaryota; Viridiplantae; Streptophyta; Magnoliopsida; Poales; Poaceae.